AUCUGCGAUGUAUAAAGGAAAGCAUCGCGGAUCUCAACGGGUUAGGAGUCCCGUGUCCCAGAGUCCCGAUUUGCCCAGCGUACGUUUUUCUCUGUGUCGCCACUGGGAAGUGACCUGCAGCUAUGAGUUCGGACGCGGAGAUGGCGGUUUUUGGGGUCGCUGCACCCGUC
Molecule: long non-coding RNA, 170 nt
Organism: Polypterus senegalus (gray bichir)
Lineage: Eukaryota; Metazoa; Chordata; Cladistia; Polypteriformes; Polypteridae
Exons: 3
Source: RefSeq, a predicted model, not a curated record